This 335-nucleotide ribosomal RNA is filed under the name uncultured eukaryote. Its description in RNAcentral is "SSU rRNA". It matches the Rfam family "Eukaryotic small subunit ribosomal RNA", at positions 594 to 945 of the family's 1831-position model. The record is from RNAcentral.
AUAGCGUAUAUUAAAGUUGUUGCAGUUAAAAAGCUCGUAGUUGAACUUUAGGCAAGGCGGUCGGGUCUCCCAAUGGGUGUACUUGGCUCGCCGCGCCUCACCUUCGGGGAACUAGUCGUGCUUCGGUGCGCUAGGGAACCGAGCCUUACUUUGAAGAAAUUAGAGUGUUUAAAGCAGGCUUACGCUUGAAUACAUCAGCAUGGAAUAACAUGAUAGGACUUUGGUUCUAUUUUGUUGGUUUGAGGACCAAAGUAAUGAUUAAUAGGGCCAGUCGGGGGCAUUAGUAUUCUAUAGUCAGAGGUGAAAUUCUUGGAUUGACUCAAGACCAACUAUUG